GUGCUCUCUUCGACAGCACAUAUACUAAAAUUGGAAAGAUACAGGGAAGAUGAGCAUGUCCCUGCUCAAAGAUGAUGUGCAAAUUCCUGAAGCAUUCCAUAUUUUA
Molecule: small nuclear RNA, 106 nt
Organism: Lutra lutra (Eurasian river otter)
Lineage: Eukaryota; Metazoa; Chordata; Mammalia; Carnivora; Mustelidae
Source: RefSeq, a predicted model, not a curated record